Long non-coding RNA from Chinchilla lanigera (long-tailed chinchilla), 2142 nucleotides. The record is from Ensembl. Lineage: Eukaryota; Metazoa; Chordata; Mammalia; Rodentia; Chinchillidae.
GCCGACUCUGUGACACUGCCGGACUCAGCCUCCGGGCACGAGGGAGGAGCAGCAGCCAGCAAAUUGGCCUUUUCAGCUUUCUCUUAAUUUGCCAGCAAACGCUCCUUUUUUUACCCUCAGCAUUGCACUGGGUGCCCGAUCCUGAUGUCCGAAAGCAGUGGGCUACAAUCACUCUAAAUCAGGCUGGAAAGCGUGUUUCUGAGUCUUUCCCCAUCUGUCUGACUUGAAGGUUCUGCUGUUGGUAACGAGUCGUUUCUUCGGCAGAAUCCUGGACGGGAGGAACUUCGUGUUCAAUCAUUGCUAGUCCAUGACACAAGCUGGAAGCCUUGUGAACCCUCCUCCAGGCCACACGCAGCUCCGAGGACAGUGCCUGGCUGGGGACCAGAGUGCCCUGCAGGGAACUCGGCCUGAGGGACUAUCCUCCGCGACUCUGGGCGACCUGAGGCCUGAGGCUUCUAGGAGGAAACGGCUGCUGUUACCAGGCAACAGCUGGGAGUGUGUGGUCCGAGGCAGGGGCCAGCUGGACGCCGUCACUCCUGGACACCAGCCUCCGGCACCCCUGACCCUUGCGGAGGUGCUGACCUGUGACCGAGCAGGCUGUGUCCCUGGACAUGAGCUGGGUGUAUCGGGCUGCAGGCCGGGCAGGGUCUCCGUCUGCACUUCCAAACGCUGCUCUCCACUCAGAACAAAGCACUGCCCUCGGAGUUCCCCGGAAGAGGCAUGUCCCUGAGUUAUGCUUUUCUUAUUGACCUUCCAUGGAGAUUUGCGACUUGCAGACCCGAGGAUCCUUCGGAGGAUGGGAGAGGCAGGGGUCCGAGGGGCUUCGGAGCUUCUAGGAGCCUUUUACCAAUGGCACCUUCUUCUGACCUACACUAGAACUUGGGUGCGUGUGCACUGUGUAUAUGUGCACAUGCGUUUCUAUGUGUCUAUGUGUAUUAAAACACAUGCUUGAGUGCACACAUGCAAGUGAAUGUACACGUGAAUAUACAUGUGUCUGUACUCAUAUGUCUGAGAGGAGACUGUGGAGCCUCAGCAUGCACAACCGACCAUGAAGAGGUGGUUGCUGGAUGCAGGACAGGUCCCGGGCAUCUCCCUUGUGUCCAAACCCGGCACCUGUGUCGUCCUAUCUGCAGUCUCUGCUGAUGUGGUGUUCUUGUGAUUGCUGACACAUUUUAAAUGAUUUUUACCAUCUUAUUUGUGAUUUCUUUUCCCCCCCUGAAGUUUCCAUGUUGUUUCCUGCCUCGUUUUGAGUUGAUUACAUGUUUAAAGCCCAUGUUCCCUCCCCUAUGUUUUAGAAUGUCACAGACCUAUGGUACCGUGUACUUUAUCCUACUGGGGGGGGAGCCCUGAAAAUUUUAACAGACAAAUGUGACUCAAUCUAAACCAGAGGAUAGAUCUGCACUCCUGAGCUAUCCAGGGAACCCAGGCUAUUUGCCAUUUAAUUGUGCCCCCCAAAGAGUUAGUGACAUAUCUUUUCUUUCUGUCCCGCCCCCGGUUAGGAUUUAUUAGCAUUAUAAUUUCUAUGUCGAUGUUUAUGCAGAUUUACCUGUUUUUUUUUUUUUUUUUACUCUUUCCUCAACACUGUUUCUUGCCACUCAGAAUCUCUGUUCUGGAAUUGUUUUCCUUUUUCCUGAGCAAAUUAAGUUCUCUCUGAUGGGUCUUCGGUGGCAAACUCGCAGUUGGUUCUGAGGCGGCGGCGGCGCUCGAGACGCAGUGAGCCGCGGUGAGCAGAGCUGGUUGGAGACGCUGCUUCCCCGCCACACCGGGAGAGGGUUGGAGUCCUCUCAGGACACCUCAGAGCUCACUGAGGGCACCUCUGUCACCUCACCGGAGAGUACAGGGGGGACUUUGUGGCUCCCCACAGUGGGGUCCUCAGCACUCCCGGGGGAGCCUGGCUGCAACUUCCGCUCCUUGGCAGGUCCUGGGGUCUCACUGUCAGUGCUCUGCUGGGACAGUGCUCCUGCCCAUGCUGCAGGAGUUUGGGCCCGUAUGCUAACCUGGCCCUGCCUCCAAAGGCCAUGGGGUUCGCUAGUGUCCCCAGCGUAGAGGCAGACUGGCCCACACCUACCUUCUGGCGAGCUGGAGGCUGGGGCCGAGAGCGUCACACGGAGAGGAGACUGAGGCUGAACCUGCCGUCUGACC